GAUUUAGUGUUAUUAACAUAGGAUUAUAUCAUAUGAUAAUCGAAUUUUGGCGAUGAUUAUAUAACUUUGUCGAUCUAUGCAGAGUUAUUAGGUAUCUUCUUUAGUAGAAUUUGGUUACUAAUAAUUUAGUAGAUAAGUAUGUGUAUUGGCGGAGGUAUAUAUUCGUAGAUAAAAAAAAAUAAUGGUUUUAAAAUAAAAAGAAACACACAGAGGUUUUGCGUACUAUAAUACAUAUGGAUAGCAGAAAAAAUAUUAUAUGAAGAAAUAAUAAUAAUAAUAAAAGAUAAAAUAAAUGUAGAAAAAAAAGAGAUGCGCAUGUCAUCUCCACCACCUCUUCUUCCGCCUAUCCUCUUAAAAAGUUUCUGUUCCAUUAAAAAUUACACAAAAAUCAUCAUCACACAAAGAUACAGCUUUCAUCAUCUCCGUCUCGCUCCCAUUUUUUUUUUAUCUUUUUUUUUUUUUUUGGUAUCUUUUUUUAUUUACAAAACUGAUAAAUUUUGGAGCGAAACAGAUUUUUAUUUUUCUAAUAGGAAAAGGAAAACAAGAAGAAUUGUUUUUUUUUUUUUUUGUGAUAUAUAUAUAUAUA
RNAcentral lists this long non-coding RNA (586 nucleotides) under Capsella rubella. RNAcentral describes it as "long non-coding RNA (CRUB_LNC001190)". The record is from RNAcentral. Lineage: Eukaryota; Viridiplantae; Streptophyta; Magnoliopsida; Brassicales; Brassicaceae.